AAUGAAGUGCCUGAAAUUAAAAGGGUUAUUUUGAUAGAAUAAAUCAUGUAAAAUUAUUACCUUCAUUA
Molecule: transfer RNA, 68 nt
Filed under: Cryptalaus larvatus
Lineage: Eukaryota; Metazoa; Arthropoda; Insecta; Coleoptera; Elateridae
Also listed under: 1 other name
Description: tRNA-Ile
Source: RNAcentral